GUAUCAUUUAGUUCACUCACAAAAGUUUCAGCCCAUUCUUGAGCAGUGUGGGUUGUCACAUGUGUAAAAUUAUGCCGAUGUCGCUUCUCCCUCUCCUCACAUGACAUAGUCAAAGCUUGGCGUAUCGAAUCAGCAACUUCGGUGAUAUUCCAAGGGUUCACAAGGAUCGCUCCAGCACCCAGAGACUGUGCUGCUCCUGCAAACUCACUAAGAAUGAGAACGCCUUUCUUUGAAUCUUGGCAUGCCACAAAUUCAUAACUGACAAGAUUCAUUCCAUCCCUCAAAGAAGUUACAAGUGCAACAUCGGUAACAGCAUACACUGCACACAAGGCAUGAAAGUCAAGAG
RNAcentral lists this unclassified non-coding RNA (346 nucleotides) under Hevea brasiliensis (rubber tree). The record is from RNAcentral. Lineage: Eukaryota; Viridiplantae; Streptophyta; Magnoliopsida; Malpighiales; Euphorbiaceae.